This is an RNA transcript of Acomys russatus (golden spiny mouse), 1210 nucleotides long. It is a transcript of the gene named peptidyl-prolyl cis-trans isomerase FKBP2, with no coding region annotated. The record is from RefSeq and is a predicted model, not a curated record. The transcript has 2 exons. Lineage: Eukaryota; Metazoa; Chordata; Mammalia; Rodentia; Muridae.
CACAGCCCGGGCUGGGUGAUCCGGGUGCAGGAGGGUAGUCUGGGGCAGGCCAGUCCGAAGCGGGCCGGAAUCUGCGUGCCAGCGAGGGAUAACAGACGAGGAAAUUGGGGCUAGGGUCCGGCGGCUGGCAAUGCCGCAGGGGGCGGGCUCACAUGCCGUACGGGGCGGAGCCCUGGGGCUCGGGGCGGGACGCGGGACAGCGGUGGGAAGAACAACGGAGCCGGUGAGGGUGGAGGGCGGAACUAAGUGUUCUGUAGCUGGGUUAGGAGGUCUGGGGGGCGGGGUCUGGCCUUUAGAGGAGGAGCUGGAGCAGGUGGAAGGUGGAGCCUUGGGGUCGGAGACUGAGGGCGUGGGAUCCCAGGCGUUAGAGGCGGGGCUUCAGCCAGUGGCAGGCGUGGCCCCUGUUCAGAAGCGGCCUAGCAUUACUGAGGGCGGGGUUGUAAGUCAGGGGGCGGAGCCAAGCGUCCUAAGGGGUGGGGCUAGGGAACCUUGCGAAGAGCCAAGCCUGAGUAAUGGCCAGAGGCGUCCACGGGGGGGCGGUCUUCGUGGUGGCCGCGCCUGGGGUCGCGGUAGACCGAGAACUCCCCCUGGAGAGGUUGUGUGGGUGGAGCGGGCGCGGCGCCCCGCUGACUCGAGCCCAGUCUGGGUGCCUCGGAGGCCCCCGAGAGCUCAGAGCUGGGGGGGAGCCCCUGGUGGAGGAGGCACGGAACCGGGAUGGGGGAUGCCUCCGGAGGACCGUGCCUCCCCAGAGCCGCCUAGCGGAGAUGUGUGGGUACCUCGGGGCCGGCCACCUCCAGCCGCCGCAGAGGUGUGGGUGUGCUGGACAGGGGGCAGCUGGGUGUGGCGGGAGUGGGGUCGUCCGGUGGGGACAAAUCCGGUGCAACCAGAUAGGGUUUGGACUUUACGUAAAGGGACUGGCGGGAACUGAAAAACGGAAAUGGGGACUGGGAGGGAGAGAAGGUCUGGUAGUGAGCAAAGGGACGGGGCCCUGGCUGCUGUGGCCUCCCCUGACUCCCUCCCCUCGCUGCUGGGGUCCUCGGCCAAGCCCCCUUCUCACUGGACUGAGACAUGAGGCUGAGCUGGGUCCUGACAAUACUGUCCAUUUGCCUGAGUGCCCUGGCCACAGCCACGGGGGCAGAAGGCAAACGGAAGCUGCAGAUCGGAGUGAAGAAACGCGUGGACCACUGCCCCAUCAAGUCUAGAAAGGGAG